GACGAACGCUGGCGGCGUGCUUAACACAUGCAAGUCGAACGGUAAGGUCCUUUCGGGGGUACUCGAGCGGUGACCGGGUGCGUAACAGUUAGGUGAUCUGCCCUGCCCUUUGGGAUAAGCCUGGGAUAGUGGGUCUGGUACUGGUACGGAAUAAGCGAUGCAUGCCCAGUGUUGGAAAGUUUAGGCGGGGUGGGCUGUGACUUCUGCCUAUCCGCUCGUUGGUGGGGUGAUGGCCUACCAAGGCGACGACCGGUAGCCGGCCUGCGAGGGUGACCGGCCACACUGGGACUGAGAUACGGCGCAGACUCCUACGGGAGGCAGCAGUGGGGAAUAUUGCACAAUGGGCGCAAGCCUGAGGCAGCGACGCCGCGUGGGGGAUGACGGCCUUCUGGUUGUAAACCCCUUUCAGCACAGACGAAGCGUAAGUGACGGUAUGUGCAGAAGAAGCACCGGCCAACUACGUG
RNAcentral lists this ribosomal RNA (464 nucleotides) under uncultured bacterium. RNAcentral describes it as "partial 16S ribosomal RNA". It matches the Rfam family "Bacterial small subunit ribosomal RNA", at positions 28 to 507 of the family's 1533-position model. The record is from RNAcentral.